Molecule: ribosomal RNA, 1373 nt
Filed under: uncultured bacterium
Lineage: Bacteria
Description: partial 16S ribosomal RNA
Rfam family: Bacterial small subunit ribosomal RNA
Source: RNAcentral
CGAUGAGGCCCCUUCGGGGGCACAUCAGCGGCGAACGGGUGGGUAACACGUGGGUUAUCUGCCCCUUAGUUCGGAAUAGCUCCUGGAAACGGGUGGUAAUGCCGGAUGUGGCUGUAGCGGCCAAAGCUCGCAAGAGCGCUAAGGGAUGAGCCUGCGGCGGAUUAGGUAGUUGGUGGGGUAACGGCUUACCAAGCCUACGAUCCGUAGCUGGCCUGAGAGGGUGGUCAGCCACACUGGGACUGAGACACGGCCCAGACUCCUACGGGAGGCAGCAGUUGGGGAUCUUGCACAAUGGGCGAAAGCCUGAUGCAGCGACACCGCGUGGGUGCUACGGCCUUCGGGUCUUAAAGCCCUUUUAGGAGAGAAGAAAGCGUCGGAUUGUCCGGCGCCUGACACAACUUCCUGAAUAAGCCCCGGCUAACUACGUGCCAGCAGCCGCGGUAAUACGUAGGGGGCGAGCGUUGUCCGGAUUUACUGGGCGUAAAGGGUUCGUAGGCGGUUUGCCAAGCCUCACGUUAAAGCCCCGGGCUCAACUCGGGAUCCGCAUGGGAUACUGGCAGACUUGAGGACAGGAGGGGCGAGCGGAACGUUGCAAGUAGCGGUGAAAUGCAUUGAUAUGCAACGGAACACCAAUGGCGAAGGCAGCUCACUGGCCUGUUUCUGACGCUGAGGGACGAAAGCUAGGGUAGCGAACGGGAUUAGAUACCCCGGUAGUCCUAGCUGUAAACGAUGGGUACUAGUCGUCGGGGGUAUCGACCCCCUCGGUGACGCAGCUAACGCACUAAGUACCCCGCCUGGGGACUACGGCCGCAAGGUUGAAACUCAAAGGAAUUGACGGGGGCCCGCACAAGCGGUGGAGCAUGUUGCUUAAUUCGAUGCAACGCGAAGAACCUUACCAGGGCUUGACAUCCCUCUGACCGCUUCUUAAUCGAAGCUUCCCUUCGGGGCAGAGGAGACAGGUGGUGCAUGGUUGUCGUCAGCUCGUGUCGUGAGAUGUUGGGUUAAGUCCCGCAACGAGCGCAACCCUUGUCAUUAGUUGCCAUCAGGUUAAGCUGGGCACUCUAGUGAGACCGCCGGGGAUAACUCGGAGGAAGGUGGGGAUGACGUCAAAUCAUCAUGCCCCUUAUGUCCUGGGCUACACUCGUGCUACAAUGGUCGGUACAGCGAGAAGCAAACCUGUGAAGGGGAGCAAAACUUCAAAACCGGCCCCAGUUCGGAUUGCAGGCUGAAACCCGCCUGCAUGAAGUCGGAGUUGCUAGUAAUCGUGAAUCAGAAUGUCACGGUGAAUGCGUUCCCGGGUCUUGUACACACCGCCCGUCACACCAUGGAAGUUGGGGGCGCCCGAAGUCGGCCAAAUAAUAGGUGCCUAAGGC